CCCUUAGACGUUCUGGGCCGCACGCGCGCUACACUGACCAGUGCAACAAGCAUCCGUCCUUGGCCGACAGGCCCGGGCAAUCUUUGAACGCUGGUCGUGCUGGGGAUAGAUUCUUGCAAUUAUUAAUCUUCAACGAGGAAUUCCUAGUAAACGCAAGUCAUCAGCUUGCAUUGAUUACGUCCCUGCCCUUUGUACACACCGCCCGUCGCACCUACCGAUUGAAUGGUCCGGUGAAAUCCUCGGAUCGAGCCGUGGGGCAACUCCGGUUCGAGAAGUUGAUUAAACCUUACCAUUUAGAGGAAGGUGAAGUCGUAACA
RNAcentral lists this ribosomal RNA (317 nucleotides) under uncultured eukaryote. Its description in RNAcentral is "partial 18S ribosomal RNA". It matches the Rfam family "Eukaryotic small subunit ribosomal RNA", at positions 1470 to 1796 of the family's 1831-position model. The record is from RNAcentral.